CGGGCGAGGCUGGACCAUUUAGAAUGAGCAGAUGUGGAGAAUUUGUCAGAAUGGAACAAUGUGAGGUUGAACCGGAUCCUUGUGGACUAUAUGUUGAGGAUGUCUUAUUAUGAUACUGCGGUGAGGUGAAGAUGGCCGAAAGCCAAAAUAUUCAGGAACUGCAGUUUGGAGCCACUGCCUCAAAAGUUUUAUGAGUCAUAGUUGAAGAGAUUUGCCUUCUAUUGUUGUUCAUGUGACAGGUGCCUUAGUUUACAGUUCAACUCUCACUGAAAGAGUGUUCAUUCUGGUUGAAGG
This is a long non-coding RNA of Rosa rugosa (rugosa rose), 294 nucleotides long. RefSeq lists it as uncharacterized. Lineage: Eukaryota; Viridiplantae; Streptophyta; Magnoliopsida; Rosales; Rosaceae. The record is from RefSeq and is a predicted model, not a curated record. The transcript is spliced from 3 exons.